GACGAACGCUGGCGGCGUGCCUAAUACAUGCAAGUAGAACGCUGAAGGAGGAGCUUGCUCUUCUGGAUGAGUUGCGAACGGGUGAGUAACGCGUAGGUAACCUGCCUGGUAGCGGGGGAUAACUAUUGGAAACGAUAGCUAAUACCGCAUAACAGUAGAUGUUGCAUGACAUUUGCUUAAAAGGUGCAAUUGCACCACUACCAGAUGGACCUGCGUUGUAUUAGCUAGUUGGUGGGGUAACGGCUCACCAAGGCGACGAUACAUAGCCGACCUGAGAGGGUGAUCGGCCACACUGGGACGGAGACACGGCCCAGACUCCUACGGGAGGCAGCAGUAGGGAAUCUUCGGCAAUGGACGGAAGUCUGACCGAGCAACGCCGCGUGAGUGAAGAAGGUUUUCGGAUCGUAAAGCUCUGUUGUAAGAGAAGAACGAGUGUGAGAGUGGAAAGUUCACACUGUGACGGUAUCUGACCAGAAAGGGACGGCUAACUACGUG
RNAcentral lists this ribosomal RNA (495 nucleotides) under uncultured bacterium. RNAcentral's name for it is "partial 16S ribosomal RNA". It matches the Rfam family "Bacterial small subunit ribosomal RNA", at positions 28 to 507 of the family's 1533-position model. The record is from RNAcentral.